UUUCCGUAGGUGAACCUGCGGAAGGAUCAUUAAAGAAUUUGCCCCGUCCUCUCGAGGAUGGGUCCUCUUCUAAACCGUGUAUACAUACCUUUGUUGCUUUGGCGGGCCGCCGUCUCGGCGUUGGCUUCGGCUGGCUGUGCCCGCCAGAGAACCCCAACUCUUCUGUUUAGUAUUGUCUGAGUACUAUAUAAUAGUUAAAACUUUCAACAACGGAUCUCUUGGUUCUG
RNAcentral lists this unclassified non-coding RNA (227 nucleotides) under plant metagenome. RNAcentral's name for it is "partial contains small subunit ribosomal RNA, internal transcribed spacer 1, and 5.8S ribosomal RNA". The record is from RNAcentral.